RNAcentral lists this ribosomal RNA (322 nucleotides) under uncultured eukaryote. RNAcentral describes it as "partial 18S ribosomal RNA". It matches the Rfam family "Eukaryotic small subunit ribosomal RNA", at positions 1470 to 1796 of the family's 1831-position model. The record is from RNAcentral.
CCCCUAGAUGUUCUGGGCCGCACGCGCGCUACACUGAACAGUUCAACAAGUCUUAACCUUGGCCGAUAGGUCUGGGUAAUCUUUGAACGCUGUUCGUGAUUGGGAUAGACCUUUGCAAUUAUGGGUCUUCAACGAGGAAUUCCUAGUAAACGCAAGUCAUCAGCUUGCAUUGAUUACGUCCCUGCCCUUUGUACACACCGCCCGUCGCACCUACCGAUUGAAUGGUCCGGUGAAUGAUUCGGACUUCCGCAGUGCUAGCUACUAGCUUUGUGGAAGAAAGUCUUGUGAACCUUAUCACUUGGAGGAAGGAGAAGUCGUAACA